CCUACGGGUGGCAGCAGUGGGGGAUAUUGCACAAUGGGGGAAACCCUGAUGCAGCGACGCCGCGUGAGUGCAGAAGUAUUUCGGUAUGUAAAGCUCUAUCAGCAGGGAAGAAAAUGACAGUACCUGACCAAGAAGCCACGGCUAACUACGUGCAAGCAGCCGAUGUACUACGUAGGGGGCACGCGUUAUCCGGAUUUACUGGGUGUAACGGGAGCGUAGACGGUUAUGUAAGUCUGGAGUGAAAGCCCGGGGCCCACCCCCUGGACUGCUUUGGAAACUGUGUAACUGGAGUACAGGAGGGGCAGGCGGAAUUCGUGGUGUAGCGGUGAAAUGCGUAGAUAUCAGGAGGAACACCGGCGGCGAAGGCGGCCUGCUGAACUGAAACUGACGUUGAGGCUCGAAAGCGUGGGUAGCAAACAGGAUUAGAUACCCGGGUAGUC
RNAcentral lists this ribosomal RNA (440 nucleotides) under uncultured bacterium. RNAcentral's name for it is "partial 16S ribosomal RNA". It matches the Rfam family "Bacterial small subunit ribosomal RNA", at positions 338 to 795 of the family's 1533-position model. The record is from RNAcentral.